Molecule: long non-coding RNA, 3752 nt
Filed under: Homo sapiens (human)
Lineage: Eukaryota; Metazoa; Chordata; Mammalia; Primates; Hominidae
Description: HSALNT0404207
Source: RNAcentral
GGUCUCAAACUCCUAAACUCAAGCGAUCCACCCCCGCCUGGGCCUCCCAAAGUGCUGGGAUUACAGGUGUGAGUUGCCCCACCCAGCCGUGAUUAAUUUGGGCUUUCAACACCCUAAAAUGGGAGAAGGUGGUAGCAUAGAGUGUGUAUGACUGAUUGUAUUUACAUUUGUUGCAAUUUGAAGAAAUGUAGUUAGAAGUCCAUCUGCAGAGAGAUUAUGACCAUCGCUUCUGUCUGACCAAGGUCUGUUUUCCUGAUCGGUUGGAUGCCUCAGCGUGCAUUCCCAGGACUUUAUGAGAUGAUCCACUGAAGGAUUUCAGCAAGAACAUUCUGGAGUGUCAACUGAUACGUUUUUCAGUCUCAGCUUGCUCACUGUUUGAGUAGUGUCACAUGUACAUGCGUGUUAUUAGAGGCGAAUGCACGUUUUUGUUACUGAGAGAGUGGCCCUAGAGCAGAUGCCAGCGAACUGCAGCCCACAGCCCGAAUCUAGCCUGCCGCCUCUUUUCAUGUGGCUCACAAGCUAGUCAUAGUAUUAUAUUUUAAUAGUGUGGGAAAACAUCAGAAGAAGAACAAUAUUUUGUGGAACAUGAAAAUUAUAUGUUUACAUUUUAGCAUCCAUAAACGUGGUUUCAUUAGAACACACUUCUAUGGUUUGAAUGUCCUCUCCAAAACUCAUGUUGAAACUUAGUCUCUAACGUCACUAUAUUAAGAGAUAGGGCCUUUAAGAAGUGAUGGGGGCAUGGGAACUCUGCCCUCAUGAAUGGAUUAAUCUAUUCAUGGAUUAAUGGAUUAAUGCAUUAAUGGAUUGGUGGUUUAUCAUCGCAAGGAAACUGGCAGUUUUGUAAGAAGAGGAAGGGAGACAGUGGCAGGGAAACUGGCGGCUUUGUAGCAAGAGGAAGUGAGACUUGAGUCCUCUCACCACAGGUUGCCCUGCACCAACCACCACAGGACUCUGUAGAGAGUCCUGGCUAGCAAGAGGAUCUUCACCAGAUGUGGCCUCUUGACCUGAGACUUCUCAGCCUCCAUAACUGUUAAGUUUCCUGGAGAAUUCUGAAGGAUAUGCCCCCUUCCUCUCCUACAGCUCAGAGUUGUUCUGUGCACUUGGAUCAGCCUCCACAACUUCCCCCCGGGACAGGGCACCCAUCACCAUCUCCUACCUGGACAGCAGCAAACACUGCCCCCGUGACUUCCUGGUGCCAUCCUUGGCUCCAUUACGUCCAUUCUCCAGUGGCUGGCAGAGUGAGCUUGAAGAACGUGUGACAUGCCCUUCAGAAUGUUCUACUUCCUGUUCCAGAAGGACAGCCCCUCAUGCCUUCCCGCGGGCCACACGCCACCUCUUCCUCAGUGCCCCAGCCUGGCAUCCUCUUCCUGCAUUCAGCCUUCUUUUCCGAGGUGUCAUCUUGCUGGAGGGCAGAAGGAUUCCCUGGAACCUGGGGGCCAGCAGGACAGAGGAAACAGAAAGUACAUGACCGAUGAUGUCUUUCGACCACAGAAAGGGCUGGAAGAAGCAGGGGACCUACUGUUUGAAUAAACCCAGUGGAAAAACAGAAGCCCCAUUUCAUACUUGACUCAGCUCUUCAAGUUUAAAUCUUGAAUCUCCUCAACUACACGGAACAGUGUCUCUCCCAAGUCAUCUGACACCCACUCUGUUCUCUGGAUCAUUCCUUCCUAGAGAACGUUGCUCUUGGAGGGCUGUGAUCUGCUCUCACCCACUUGCCUUUCUGACCCACUGAGUGCAUCUCAACAGUCACUUGGGGUGAUCCGAUCUGACCAGGAAGGGUUGGGUGGCUCGUGGAGCUUGGGAAGCACUCUCACUGUGGCGGUCCCCAUUGGUGGUCAUGGGGUUGCCACAGUGAGCUACGUUUCUACCCUCAUCUCUCUAUAUGUUACCGUGGAAUCUCUGACUGAGGACCCAUGGGCUCACCCAAUGUGAUAAAGUCCUGAAGCUCAGCCGGGACGUCCGACCCCAGCUGCAGGACUUUCCAAUAGACAGAUGCAUAGAACUUGAGAAGAAAUCGACUUAGAAACCUGAAGUUGGAAAACUGGUUGCCUGACAUUCUGUGCAAGACUGAAUCUCUGAGAAAUGAAGGCUGUGUAACUUUGGGACCAUGUCUUUUCCAGCCUACAUAGACCCCCAGGAAACUUUGCAGUUGUUCCCCAAGUAUGGAUGGAGUCAAACUUGAUGUCCUUUCAUCCCCCCAUCCCAUCCACUAAUCCAUAUCCUUUGGAAAUUUUAGAGUGCCGGGCCUCAUGUAAAUACACCAAAAACAAUUUAAGUCAUUUAUGUUCUACUAAGCCAAGAGUUCUUUAGCGGUGGAAGAAGAUGGGGUCUUACACGAAUGGAAGGGUCUUGGCUAUUUGCGUCGGUAUCAACAGAAGGACUAGACGCUUGCACUAAAAGAAAAAGCUGAGGGAUGGGGGCAGGAAGCGGGAAGCUGGGACCCAAGCCCCACCUUCCUGAGUUGGAAGGUGACAGGUAGACUCCUGCUUGUUUGCCAGAGAGGCCUGGCAGAGGAGGUGCAUCCCAGCACAGAAGGGCAGCACAGAGGCAGCCUGAGAAGAUUCUGUCGCUGCCAGGUCACCAGGACCUCUGGACCACAGCUGGGUUGCGCUGUUUUCCAGUUUGUGAAACUAGGACUUUGGGGAACAUCCUGUGAAUUGGUGUCAUUUUGAUUUUCCUGGAGGAUUUUUGAGGUCAGCGUGACUGCUGUCACUAACUAAAAUAAAAUCCGAAGUCCCCAAGUGACUGAACAGACCCCCUCUUGGCCAAGGGGACCCCAGAGAAACCUGAAAGCUGAGCUCCCAGCCAUGAGGGGACGGGCGAUCGGACACGCUUCAUCACAGUCCCUCCCCUUUGUGGUUUAAACGACGAUGAUCGGCUGUCAUGCUAAAAUAGAGACACGAGACCGACAGCACAGACUCCUUAUGGCAAUAAGACACCAAAUUAUAAGCAGCACCUCAGGCCACGCCAGGUAAGGGUCGAGCCGCGCACUCUACACUUAGAGAACGGACUCUGCUCUCACACCACAGCGUCUUCUUUUUCUUCAGCAGCUAAACACGCACCGGCCCCGAGAUUCAAACGACUGCAGCUCAUCCACCUGCAGACGCUGGCUGACCCCGUUCCACAGCUGUGACUAUAGCUUUGAUUGGACAAGAGGUUGAUUUCAGUCUCCUGGUAAGAGACCACCAACCAUAGACCUGGUUCAGGCUGAUUAUAGAAGCUGCACACUUGUAUGCCUUCGAGUCCCUGCCUCACCUUUUGACGUGUAGGGACUCAUUGUAAUGCUUUUAAAUGUGAAGCCUCCACCCCAAAGUGAACAUGGGACGCAUGUAACGUGCAUGUUCAGUGGGCACGGCUCAGGACUCUCUUUGUGAAUAUUCAUAGCUCCUCCUGGAACCUGAAUAUGUAUGUUUGGCCAGCUCAAUUCAGCAUGAGGCUCCUGCUGCAACACCGCCUCCUUCCAGGUGCCUGCCAGCUGUUUCUGCCAGAGGCUGCGUCUCCCGGCCUGUCAGAAUGGCCACCCUGCAGGCUGUAAUCCUUUAGAAGAAAUAAAGAUCCCCUUUCCAGAUGUAUAGAUCUUGUGAUUUUUUUCCAUUCACAUCCUUGCAUCUUAUAAUGCCCUGUCUCCAUGGGGGUUACAUAGAAAGCCCUCAGCCUCUAGGGCAGAUGGAGCCAGGACUGAGGGUGGGGGUGGAGAAGGAUCAGGAGACUCACUUCAAGGACUUUCUGGUGCCGGCAGUGUAGGCUUGCCA